Molecule: long non-coding RNA, 1377 nt
Filed under: Homo sapiens (human)
Lineage: Eukaryota; Metazoa; Chordata; Mammalia; Primates; Hominidae
Description: HSALNT0090656
Source: RNAcentral
CUAACACCAUAUUUACUUUCAAAAUAUAAUUGCACUAUUAAUGGAAACAUAUUUUCUCUCUAGAGUUUCAACCAUUUGUAAUUGACUAUUAAAGUUAAUCUUAGAGAGUAAUAAUGACAGUGGUCUAGGGUUUUCAUGCGCUUUUUCUUUUUCUCUUUCUUUCUUUUUUUUUUUUUUUUUUUUUUUUUUGGCGGAGUCUAGCUCUGUCUCCCAGGCUGGAGUGCAGUGACGUGAUCUCGGCUCACAGCAACCUCUGCUUCCCGGGCUCAAGCGAUUCUCCUGCCUCAGCCUCCCGAGUAGCCAGGAUUACAGGCGCCCUCCACCAUGCCCAGGUAAGGGAACUUGCCCAGGGCCUUGUCUGGGCAUGCUGAUUGGAGGCCCACAUGCACUGGGAGAAUGGGGUGGAGCCACCAGGAAUUUGCGCCUUGUGCAAGGGCAUGAGCCUGGCCUCUUCAGCUCCUGUGUGGUGGCCUGGUAUUCAGUCUGUGAUGUGGGAGCCUGUUGCCAGGACCCCUCUUCGUUUGCUGAGAGCUUUCUUUUCAUACAGUAAAGCCAUCCUCCUCACCCUUCAGUGUGUCCAUGUGACUAACAUUUGCUGGUCCUGAGACAAGAACCGAGAUUUUAGCUGAACCAAGGAACAAAAACUCCUGCAUCAAGAGCACUUGAAUUUCUGACUGCUAUUUUGUGUAUUUCAACGAAUUUUAGCCUGGACAAAUAAAUAACUAUAUAAUUAUAAUUCUAUUAAUAUGAAAAGUUACAGUGAAUUCUCCUAAUAAUUUAUAAUUAUUAUAUAUUUUAAAUUAUGUAAAUCUGCAUGCUGUAAUCAUUACCUCUUGGCAGUUUUUGAAAAUUCAGAAAUGUCUUCAUAUCUUUGUCUUGUUCUGAAAGCGGAAGCAGGACAAAUGCAAAUGGUGAAUUAUUAACCAACAAGGAGUACAGAAAAAAUGUAAUAGCUUAAGGGACCAAAAAUGUAGUGAGAUAUGGAUAGGAAAUAAAAAUAAGAAAAGAGGACAUAAGCAGUUGACGAAUAUUAUACAAAUACCGAGAUACCAGAGAAGCAAAUGAGUUUCUUUCAAAAUGACCAUGUUAUCAGUAAACAAAGAAACGAGAAAAAUACAUUGAAAGUAGCACAAGCUACAUUCUAAAAGUCAGACGCGAAGCUAUGACAACUUUAGAAAUGUAAACUGCUCUCUUAGUAGCCAAGGUUAGUUUCACCUUUCCUAUUAUUGUAUUCAUAAAAUUUCAUACAGAAGAUAUGGGGUUUUAUAAGCAAUGCUAAUUUCAAACUCGUCAAACUAGAAAAAAUAAAAUGUUUUAUGUCUAAGUUAUUGUCAUCUUUUAUAACAGUAAUUUUAGUGUUAGAUUUUUAUGUUUGCA